AGUUUGAUUACUAUUAAAUUGAGCUUUCAAAGAUGACUUCCCGAGGACAUAUUAUGGUCCCCAAAUAUUUAUUAGAAGAAAUUUUGGUUUACUUUUAAAUGACGUUUCAUGUGGUUUUCUUUUAAUUGAUUUGAAUUCUUAUUUAAUUAAUAAAUCCUUUUAUCAAAACCCUAUUUUUUUAAAGAAGACAUAAGCCGCCUAAACUAAGCUACCCCACUAUGCCAAUUCCAUUCCAUAUCUAUAUGUGUAUAUAUUUCGUAUCAGACGGUUUAGAAACUAAAUAGACAAAAGGGGUAUUUAUGCAUGUUUCUAAUCGCCUAUCCGUUCAUUCACAAUACUAACUCCACAACAUAAGGGGGUUCUUUGCAUUCCUCUGUUCUCGGCCACUAUCGUCGAAGCAAACCCUUUCACCGGAAAACAUGGAGGCUCCGGCAAACACCCUCACACACACUCCCUGUCCCCCGUUCCCGAUAAACAACAACGACAACAACACCUCUUCCUCCUCCAUCUCUCUCUGAUUAAACGGGCCGACCCCCUCUUGGUGGCGGCGGUACUGUUGUGGUGGCUCGACGACAGCAAACCGACGGCCAUGGAGGUCACGUCGGAGUCCGGGCGGCUGAAUAGGUGGUGCUUUGUUUUUCGACAACUUCACGAGAUGAAGAUGGUGGUGACAACGGUGGCUGCGUCGCCGCCGUCUGCGGCGGUGGACGACGGUGGCAGGAGUGGUGGUUCACGGCUCGGGUUAUUUCGGUCCAGUCCGCACCGGUCAAACUGGUGCAGUUUGUGUUCGGGAUAUGUUGAUUUGUUUCGACCUCGGGUCAGCCGAUUUAGUCUCGUUCUGUACACUUAUAUAACCUUUUGAUUCUUUUUCUGUUCUUCAUAUUUCAUUCCUUCAUUUAUUAUUAUUUAUUAUUUGUUGAACCUUUAUAACAUUCAAAAAUUCAAACUUAAACAAAAAGUAAAUUAUACUAACAGGAGGCUCACGAAUUGAAUUAUUUAGCAAAGGAAGGUAACAAUUGAUAUUUGGGUAAUUUAUUCAAACAUUUCCAUCAUUCCAAGUAAUGGAACCUGAGUUGUACAAACAGUUAGGUUCAGACUUUUUUUUAUAUAAUGAAGAAGAUGAACUGAAACCUUGUUCUUAUAUUAUUUUUUUAAAUCAAACUUUUCCUUUUGUUAUAACCAUAAAAACCACUUUAGUUAUAUUUUUUUAUAUAUUUUUUUGUUAUAUUUUUUUUCUCUUUAUUUUAUGAUUACAACUUAAACUUGUUAAAUAAUAACUGACUAACUUAUCUAAAACCCUUUAACUUAUGUUAACCCUUUUUUAUCAUUGAUGUUAUAAUGUGAUAAAAGGAAGUAAUUAUAUAAAUAAAAUAUCUAAUUAAACAAAUUGUAAACUUUAAAUGUUAGAAUUAAAAUUUUAAUCUACAACUUUUAACGAGAUCAUAAUGUGUUAUUUUAAAUAUCUAGGAUAAACACCCUCGUUCGUUCUUUUGGAAUUCCGUUUACUCAUGCACCAUCGUUUGCCCAUAUAGGGUGACCUCGGUGUUCCAUCCUCCUAAUCUCUUACGCUCGUCAACACAUGGAUAAUCGGAAGACUUAGCAAUUUUGUUGAUGAUGAUGAAAUGAAAGAGGUAGCACGAUGCCUAGAUACACACUUUAGACGUUAGGUUUAAUAUGUUGUAUCGAAUUUUGGUUAUGUUGAUUUGUUAUUUUGAUUAAACUUGUUGUUAUUUGGAUCUUGUAUUAAUGACUACUUGAAGUUUGGAAAUGAAAUUUGGAUUAUUAAAUUUUUGUCACAAA
Helianthus annuus (common sunflower) is the source of this 1800-nucleotide RNA transcript. RefSeq lists it as uncharacterized. Lineage: Eukaryota; Viridiplantae; Streptophyta; Magnoliopsida; Asterales; Asteraceae. The transcript is spliced from 3 exons. The record is from RefSeq and is a predicted model, not a curated record.